This 243-nucleotide unclassified non-coding RNA is filed under the name Hevea brasiliensis (rubber tree). The record is from RNAcentral. Lineage: Eukaryota; Viridiplantae; Streptophyta; Magnoliopsida; Malpighiales; Euphorbiaceae.
AAUUAAAAAAAAAAAAAAACUUGGAGUACUCUCUAAUUAAAAACAUAGGAGAAUCCAAAAAGUGCGAAGAGUUAAAAAUUUUUGUUAUUUUUAUCUUUUUGGUAGAUACUCCUUGCAUUAUUUUCUGUCCUUUUUUAAAAAAAAAAUAAUUAUCCUUUGUUCAUAUUUCUUUUUGGGAAGUCAGUACUUUGCUAGUUUGCUCUACUUAGUUUGACAUUAUUGUUGUGAAGGCUGAAGAAGCUG